RNAcentral lists this long non-coding RNA (1679 nucleotides) under Triticum aestivum (bread wheat). RNAcentral's name for it is "long non-coding RNA (TAES_LNC013693)". The record is from RNAcentral. Lineage: Eukaryota; Viridiplantae; Streptophyta; Magnoliopsida; Poales; Poaceae.
UCGGAUUCUGCUGGGUUCGCCCUUUGGUUCAGAUUCUGCUGCGCGGUAGCGGAAUCCGUCGAUAAAAGCUGAACCAAACAGGGCCUUUAUCCCUACACGAAUUUCUACACUGCAGGUAAAAUACCUACCUAUCUACAUUUCAAAAGCAAAAAAGGGGUCCAUUUACUUUAUUUUGCUGGCCUUCAUUUGAGUUACUUUUGGUACUUGAUUGCUGAAAUAUUGUUCAUGUGAUUAAGGAUCAACAAGAUACAUAUAUAAAGAAUACAUUGAGUUAUUUGUUUCUUUGUAGGCCCGGCGAUCUCACAGUGAAGUAAUUUCUUAUUAUUACUUGGCCCAUUAAAGUUAGAACAGGAAUAUAGUUAUUGCUUUGUCGCCUGGCCAUUGCUAAAUGCUAACUUAUGGUUCUGUCCUUGUAUUGUUUUUUCAUCUGGAAACUGGCAGUAAUAUCGGUAGUGUGUGUGCUUAAGGAUUGAUUGCAGAUAUUUACGAACAGUUCUUCACUAACACAUCUUCUCUGAACAUGAAAAUUUCCAUAUCAUGUCCUUCGUUACUUGGUAAUGAUUAUUAUCCUUAUUCCUUGCAUUUGGGGAUAUAUGUGGCUUCAUUUACACAUUUCUUUCCUUGUCAGAAAAAAUAGCCUUUUGCCGUCAAGUUACAUUAUUACAUCUUAGUAUAUUACACGGAAAACAUAACUGUUUGCAGAUGUGACAUAUAUACUAUUGAUUCAGCUUUUCCAUUGGUUUAUUGGAUUCUUUUGCUUUAGGUAGGAGAAUUGCUGGUGGAGAUGGUGGAGCUGAAAAUGCAAACACAUGAGAUCUGCUAAUGUGCCUAAUGUGCUAUGUUGGUUGAACAGGUGGUGUAAAUUUAUCUUUUCUCCAUAAAACUUAGAUGCCGGAGUUUCUUGCUUUCUACUCCAUGAGCCUCUCAUGUGCACAUUAUACAGAAAAUAUAUUGAAUGGCUUGAUAAUCUAGAAAGUUCAGUAUUUGCCUCUGAUGGAGGCAUUGAGUCAACACUAGUGGUUGCCUCGAGAACAUGUCAACAGUAGAAGUUGAUGGCCCGUAGCGUAAACUACCAACUAAAUGUUAUACUAUUGCUAGGAUGAUAGCCAGUUUUGGGAUGAUUCAUGUUUGCAUAUUGUUGUAUGACCUCCAUAGUGUGGGUUGAUGCUUAUUAUUGCUGUAAUCAUGCAAAAUUAUGAGAUAUACCCUUUUUUCCACUCUACAUGUAUGAGAUAUAACUUGACCUGCUUCUUCGUGGGUGAGUUGUAUAAAUUGGUUUUGACAGAUGGCAUUUGUUGUUCUGCAGGUAUUUGGAGUUUUCUUCGGUUUGUUGAGGCGCAGAAAUGCGGAGAUGGCUCUUUUGCUGUAUGCCCUUCCGCUUUUGUGUGUUGUGGCUGCUAUUGUGGCCGGCACUGACGUUGACAAUAUAUGGAGCAGUAUGUAGGUUCUUCCGCUUUGUAUGAUGCGUCCUGUGAAGUGGACUUGUAGGAUUUAGUAUGUAAUUCGCUAACUUCUCUGAAUUACAACUAUCUACUAAUAUUUUCAGGGACUAUUAAUCCGGUUGCAUGCCUAGAUAGUGUUUGUGGAGUUGCUUCUGUUAGUGCCUGGAUCUGUCAGUGUAUUAACACCUUGUGGUUCAUUUGCUUUAUGUCUCAAUAACGCGGGCCUUUAUAUUUUUG